Molecule: ribosomal RNA, 381 nt
Filed under: uncultured bacterium
Lineage: Bacteria
Description: bacterial SSU rRNA
Rfam family: Bacterial small subunit ribosomal RNA
Source: RNAcentral
GAUGAACGCUAGCGGCAGGCUUAAUACAUGCAAGUCGAGGGGCAGCGGGAGUAGCAAUACUUGCCGGCGACCGGCGCACGGGUGCGUAACACGUAUGUAAUCUGCCCAUCACAGGAGGAUAGCCCGGAGAAAUUCGGAUUAAUACUCCAUAAUAGAAGAUAAAGCAUUUUAUUUUCUUGAAAGUUCCGACGGUGAUGGAUGAACAUGCGACUGAUUAGUUUGUUGGUGAGGUAACGGCUCACCAAGACUACGAUCAGUAGGGGUACUGAGAGGUUAAACCCCCACACUGGUACUGAGACACGGACCAGACUCCUACGGGAGGCAGCAGUGGGGAAAAUNUUGCACAAUGGGACGAAAGCCUGAUGCAGCGACGCCGCGUGA